AUACGGAGGGUGCAAGCGUUGUUCGGAAUUACUGGGCGUAAAGCGCGCGUAGGUGGUCUGUUAUGUCAGAUGUGAAAGUCCACGGCUCAACCGUGGAAGUGCAUUUGAAACUGGCAGACUUGAGUACUGGAGGGGGUAGUGGAAUUCCCGGUGUAGAGGUGAAAUUCGUAGAUAGCGGGAGGAAUACCGGUGGCGAAGGCGACUACCUGGCCAGAUACUGACACUGAGGUGCGAAAGCGUGGGGAGCGAACAGGAUUAGAAACCCCAGUAGUCC
Molecule: ribosomal RNA, 274 nt
Filed under: uncultured bacterium
Lineage: Bacteria
Description: partial 16S ribosomal RNA
Rfam family: Bacterial small subunit ribosomal RNA
Source: RNAcentral